RNAcentral lists this ribosomal RNA (954 nucleotides) under uncultured fungus. RNAcentral describes it as "SSU rRNA". It matches the Rfam family "Eukaryotic small subunit ribosomal RNA", at positions 577 to 1562 of the family's 1831-position model. Lineage: Eukaryota; Fungi. The record is from RNAcentral.
CGGUAAUUCCAGCUCCAAUAGCGUAUAUUAAAGUUGUUGUGGUUAAAAAGCUCGUAGUCGAACCUUGGGCCUGGCUGGCCGGUCCCCCUCACCGGGUGCACUGAUCCAGCCGGGCCUUUCCCUCUGUGGAACCCCAUGGCCUUCACUGGCUGUGCGGGGGAAACAGGACUUUUACUGUGAAAAAAUUAGAGUGCUCCAGGCAGGCCUAUGCUCGAAUACAUUAGCAUGGAAUAAUAGAAUAGGACGUGUGGUUCUAUUUUGUUGGUUUCUAGGACCGCCGUAAUGAUUAAUAGGGACAGUCGGGGGCAUCAGUAUUCAGUUGUCAGAGGUGAAAUUCUUGGAUCUACUGAAGACUAACUACUGCGAAAGCAUUUGCCAAGGAUGUUUUCAUUGAUAAGGAACGAAAGUUAGGGGAUCGAAGACGAUCAGAUACCGUCGUAGUCUUAACUAUAAACUAUGCCGACUAGGGAUCGGACGAUGUUAUUAUUUGACGCGUUCGGCACCUUUCGAGAAAUCAAAGUGCUUGGGCUCCAGGGGGAGUAUGGUCGCAAGGCUGAAACUUAAAGAAAUUGACGGAAGGGCACCACCAGGGGUGGAACCUGCGGCUUAAUUUGACUCAACACGGGGAAACUCACCAGGUCCAGACACAGUGAGGAUUGACAGAUUGAGAGCUCUUUCUUGAUUCUGUGGGUGGUGGUGCAUGGCCGUUCUUAGUUGGUGGAGUGAUUUGUCUGCUUAAUCGCGAUAACGAACGAGACCUUAACCUGCUAAAUAGCCCGUACUGCUCUGGCAGUUCGCUGGCUUCUUAGAGGGACUAUCGGCUCAAGCCGAUGGAAGUUUGAGGCAAUAACAGGUCUGUGAUGCCCUUAGAUGUCCUGGGCCGCACGCGCGGCGCACUGACAGAGUCAGCGAGUACCUCCUUGGCCGGAAGGCCCGGGUAAUCUUGUUAAACUC